ACGCUAUCACUCCUACGGGAGGCAGCAGUGGGGAAUCUUAGACAAUGGGGGCAACCCUGAUCUAGCCAUGCCGCGUGAGUGAUGAAGGCCUUAGGGUCGUAAAGCUCUUUCGCCAGGGAUGAUAAUGACAGUACCUGGUAAAGAAACCCCGGCUAACUCCGUGCCAGCACGCCGGCGGAUGAUACGGAGGGGGUUAGCGUUGUUCGGAAUUACUGGGCGUAAAGCGCGCGUAGGCGGACUAGAAAGUUGGGGGUGAAAUCCCGGGGCUCAACCUCGGAACUGCCUUCAAAACUCCUAGUCUAGAGUUCGAGAGAGGUGAGUGGAAUUCCAAGUGUAGAGGUGAAAUUCGUAGAUAUUUGGAGGAACACCAGUGGCGAAGGCGGCUCACUGGCUCGAUACUGACGCUGAGGUGCGAAAGUGUGGGGAGCAAACAGGAUUAGAUACCCUGGUAG
Molecule: ribosomal RNA, 452 nt
Filed under: uncultured bacterium
Lineage: Bacteria
Description: bacterial SSU rRNA
Rfam family: Bacterial small subunit ribosomal RNA
Source: RNAcentral